GUGCUAACGUCCAUGGUCGAGAGGGAAACAACCCAGACCGCCAGCUAAGGUCCCAAAGUCAUAGCUAAGUGGGAAACGAAGUGGAAAGGCUUAGACAGCCAGGAUGUUGGCUUAGAAGCAGCCAUCAUUUAAAGAAAGCGUAAUAGCUCACUGGUCGAGUCUUUCUGCGCGGAAGAUGUAACGGGGCUAAGCUAUGCACCGAAGCUGCGGAUGCGUGUUUACACGCAUGGUAGGAGAGCGUUCUGUAAGCCUGAGAAGGUGAAGUGAAAACUUUGCUGGAGGUAUCAGAAGUGCGAAUGCUGACAUGAGUAGCGAUAAAACGGGUGAAAAACCCGUUCGCCGAAAGCCUAAGGUUUCCUACGCAACGUUAAUCGGCGUAGGGUUAGUCGGCCCCUAAGGCGAGGGCGAGAGCCGUAGUCGAUGGAAAACAGGUUAACAUUCCUGUACCGAUGUAAGAUGCGAUGGGGGGACGAAGAAGGCUAAGUCAUCCAACGAUUGGAAGAGUUGGUUUAAGCUUGUAGGCAGAUUGACUAGGCAAAUCCGGUUGAUCAUUAAUGCUGAGGAGUGACGACGAGUGGCGUAAGCCGCGAAGUGACUGAUGCCCAGCUUCCUAGAAAAGCCUCUAAGCUUCAGUCUUAUAUUGACCGUACCGCAAACCGACACAGGUAGGCGAGAUGAGAAUUCUCAGGCGCUUGAGAGAACCCAGGUGAAGGAACUCGGCAAAUUAGCACCGUAACUUCGGGAGAAGGUGCGCCCCGGUAGAUUGUAGUGGCUUGCCCACGAAGGUCGAUGGGGUUGCAGUGAAAAGGUGGCUGCGACUGUUUAACAAAAACACAGCACUCUGCAAACACGAAAGUGGACGUAUAGGGUGUGACUCCUGCCCGGUGCCGGAAGGUUAAUUGAUGGGGUGCAAGCUCUUGAUCGAAGCCCCGGUAAACGGCGGCCGUAACUAUAACGGUCCUAAGGUAGCGAAAUUCCUUGUCGGGUAAGUUCCGACCCGCACGAAUGGAGUAACGAUGGCCACACUGUCUCCACCUGGGACUCAGCGAAAUUGAAAUGGUUGUGAAGAUGCAAUCUACCCGCGGCUAGACGGAAAGACCCCGUGCACCUUUACUGUAGCUUUACAUUGGACUUUGACAAGACGUGUGUAGGAUAGGUGGGAGACUAUGAAGUGGGAACGCUAGUUCUCAUGGAGUCAACCUUGAAAUACCACCCUCGUGUUGUUGAGGUUCUAACC
RNAcentral lists this ribosomal RNA (1237 nucleotides) under metagenome. RNAcentral's name for it is "bacterial LSU rRNA". It matches the Rfam family "Bacterial large subunit ribosomal RNA", at positions 995 to 2227 of the family's 2925-position model. The record is from RNAcentral.